CCUACGGGCGGCAGCAGUGGGGGAUAUUGCACAAUGGGGGAAACCCUGAUGCAGCGACGCCGCGUGGGUGAAGACGCGCCUCGGCGCGUAAAGCCCUGUCAGCAGGGAAGAAAAUGACGGUACCUGAAGAAGAAGCACCGGCUAACUACGUUCCAGCAGCCGCGGUACUACGUGGGGGGCAAGCGUUAUCCGGAUUUACUGGGUGUAAAGGGGGCGCAGACGGCGGUGCAAGCCAGGAGUGAAAGCCCGGGGCCCAACCCCGGGACUGCUCUUGGCACUGCGGGGCUAGAGUGCAGGGGGGGCAGGCGGAAUUCCUGGUGUAGCGGUGAAAUGCGUAGAGAUCAGGAGGAACACCGGUGGCGAAGGCGGCCUGCUGGACUGCAACUGACGUUGAGGCCCGAAAGCGUGGGGAGCAAACAGGAUUAGAUACCCUUGUAGUC
RNAcentral lists this ribosomal RNA (440 nucleotides) under uncultured bacterium. RNAcentral's name for it is "partial 16S ribosomal RNA". It matches the Rfam family "Bacterial small subunit ribosomal RNA", at positions 338 to 795 of the family's 1533-position model. The record is from RNAcentral.